GCUUGUCUCAAAGAUUAAGCCAUGCAUGUCUAAGUAUAAACAACUCUAUACUGUGAAACUGCGAAUGGCUCAUUAUAUCAGUUAUAGUUUAUUUGAUAGUACCUUACUACUUGGAUAACCGUAGUAAUUCUAGAGCUAAUACAUGCAUACAACCCCAACUGCCUGUGCGGACGGGGCGUAUUUAUUAGAUCGAAACCAAUGCGGGGCAACCCGGUAUUGUGGUGAUUCAUAAUAACUGUUCGAAUCGCACGGGCAACCGGCGAUAGUUCAUUCAAAUUUCUGCCCUAUCAGCUUUCGACGGUAGUGUAGUGGACUACCGUGGCGUUAACGGGUAACGGAGAAUUAGGGUUCGAUUCCGGAGAGGGAGCCUGAGAAACGGCUACCACAUCCAAGGAAGGCAGCAGG
RNAcentral lists this ribosomal RNA (405 nucleotides) under Pirsonia diadema. RNAcentral's name for it is "partial small subunit ribosomal RNA". It matches the Rfam family "Eukaryotic small subunit ribosomal RNA", at positions 30 to 432 of the family's 1831-position model. Lineage: Eukaryota; Pirsoniales; Pirsoniaceae. The record is from RNAcentral.